Molecule: ribosomal RNA, 1150 nt
Filed under: Anagnostidinema amphibium I013-0004
Lineage: Bacteria; Bacillati; Cyanobacteriota; Cyanophyceae; Coleofasciculales; Wilmottiaceae
Description: bacterial SSU rRNA
Rfam family: Bacterial small subunit ribosomal RNA
Source: RNAcentral
ACCGAAUGUGCCUUAGGGUGAAAGAUUUAUUGUCUAGAGAUUGGCUCGCGUCAGAUUAGCUAGUUGGAGUGGUAACGGCACACCAAGGCGACGAUCUGUACUUGGUCUGAGAGGAUGACCAGGCACACUGGAACUGAGACACGGUCCAGACUCCUACGGGAGGCAGCAGUGGGGAAUUUUCCGCAAUGGGCGAAAGCCUGACGGAGCAAUACCGCGUGAGGGAGGACGGCUUUUGGGUUGUAAACCUCUUUUAUCAGGGAAGAAUCGAUGACGGUACCUGAUGAAUCAGCAUCGGCUAACUCCGUGCCAGCAGCCGCGGUAAUACGGAGGAUGCAAGCGUUAUCCGGAAUUAUUGGGCGUAAAGCGUCCGUAGGUGGUUUAUCAAGUCUGCUGUCAAAGCGUGCGGCUUAACCGCAUAAGGGCAGUGGAAACUGAUGAACUAGAGUGCGAUAGGGGUAACAGGAAUUCCCAGUGUAGCGGUGAAAUGCGUAGAUAUUGGGAAGAACACCAGCGGCGAAAGCGUGUUACUGGGUCUGCACUGACACUGAGGGACGAAAGCUAGGGGAGCGAAAGGGAUUAGAUACCCCUGUAGUCCUAGCCGUAAACGAUGACAACUAGGCGUGGUUCGUAUCGACCCGAGCCGUGCCGUAGCCAACGCGUUAAGUUGUCCGCCUGGGGAGUACGCACGCAAGUGUGAAACUCAAAGGAAUUGACGGGGGCCCGCACAAGCGGUGGAGUAUGUGGUUUAAUUCGAUGCAACGCGAAGAACCUUACCAAGGCUUGACAUCCUCGGAACCCUGAUGAAAGUUAGGGGUGCCUUCGGGAGCCGAGAGACAGGUGGUGCAUGGCUGUCGUCAGCUCGUGUCGUGAGAUGUUGGGUUAAGUCCCGCAACGAGCGCAACCCACGUUUUUAGUUGCCAGCAUUCAGUUGGGCACUCUAGAGAGACUGCCGGUGACAAACCGGAGGAAGGUGUGGAUGACGUCAAGUCAGCAUGCCCCAUACGCCUUGGGCUACACACGUACUACAAUGCGUCGGACAAAGAGCAGCCAGCCAGCGAUGGUGAGCCAAUCUCAUAAACCGACGCUCAGUUCAGAUUGCAGGCUGCAACUCGCCUGCAUGAAGGCGGAAUCGCUAGUAAUCGCAGGUCAG